This 810-nucleotide ribosomal RNA is filed under the name uncultured bacterium. RNAcentral describes it as "bacterial SSU rRNA". It matches the Rfam family "Bacterial small subunit ribosomal RNA", at positions 62 to 845 of the family's 1533-position model. The record is from RNAcentral.
UUGAUUGAUGGUGCUUGCACCUGAUUGAUUUUGGUUGCCAACGAGUGGCGGACGGGUGAGUAACACGUAGGUAACCUGCCCAGGAGCGGGGGACAACAUUUGGAAACAGAUGCUAAUACCGCAUAACAGCGUUGUUCGCAUGAACAACGCUUAAAAGAUGGCUUCUCGCUAUCACUUCUGGAUGGACCUGCGGUGCAUUAGCUUGUUGGUGGGGUAACGGCCUACCAAGGCGAUGAUGCAUAGCCGAGUUGAGAGACUGAUCGGCCACAAUGGGACUGAGACACGGCCCAUACUCCUACGGGAGGCAGCAGUAGGGAAUCUUCCACAAUGGGCGCAAGCCUGAUGGAGCAACACCGCGUGAGUGAAGAAGGGUUUCGGCUCGUAAAGCUCUGUUGUUAAAGAAGAACACGUAUGAGAGUAACUGUUCAUACGUUGACGGUAUUUAACCAGAAAGUCACGGCUAACUACGUGCCAGCAGCCGCGGUAAUACGUAGGUGGCAAGCGUUAUCCGGAUUUAUUGGGCGUAAAGAGAGUGCAGGCGGUUUUCUAAGUCUGAUGUGAAAGCCUUCGGCUUAACCGGAGAAGUGCAUCGGAAACUGGAUAACUUGAGUGCAGAAGAGGGUAGUGGAACUCCAUGUGUAGCGGUGGAAUGCGUAGAUAUAUGGAAGAACACCAGUGGCGAAGGCGGCUACCUGGUCUGCAACUGACGCUGAGACUCGAAAGCAUGGGUAGCGAACAGGAUUAGAUACCCUGGUAGUCCAUGCCGUAAACGAUGAGUGCUAGGUGUUGGAGGGUUUCCGCCCUUCAGUG